Molecule: non-coding RNA, 230 nt
Filed under: Sphingobium chungbukense
Lineage: Bacteria; Pseudomonadati; Pseudomonadota; Alphaproteobacteria; Sphingomonadales; Sphingobiaceae
Source: RNAcentral
GCUUUCACUGAUCGCGCCGGUGUCCCCGCGAGGGGACUUAAUAGGGAAUGCGGUGAUGAAUCCGCGGCUGUCCCUGCAACUGUAAGCGGCGAGCGAGACGCAUAUCGAUUCUCUGAAAAUGCCAGAGGAUCAGCCACUGGGCCGGACGCUAAAUCCUGCGAGGCCUGGGAAGGCCAUGUGUCAAGCGAUGACCCGCGAGCCAGGAAACCUGCCUGCGUCUGGUCGCUCUU